AGUAAGAUCAGCUAAGCAAGCUUUUGGGCCCAUACCCCAAACAUGUCGGUUAAACCCCCUCUCUUACUA
RNAcentral lists this transfer RNA (69 nucleotides) under Allobates gasconi. RNAcentral describes it as "tRNA-Met". Lineage: Eukaryota; Metazoa; Chordata; Amphibia; Anura; Aromobatidae. The record is from RNAcentral.